Long non-coding RNA from Cyprinus carpio carpio, 2084 nucleotides. The record is from Ensembl. NCBI's taxonomy places the organism in Eukaryota, Metazoa, Chordata, Actinopteri, Cypriniformes, Cyprinidae.
UGAGCUAAUGACGUCUUUCUGCUGUUUCUAAGGGCUGGUGUGUGUUUGCAAGUGUCCGUGUGUGUACGUUUGUGUCGCUUGCUGGUUACCACGCAUGAGUGAGUGAGUUCACGGGAGAGAGAGGUAGCCGUAGCCUACCUCGGGAUAGAUUAUGCAAAAAGAGUAAAAACAUGUAUGAAUGACAAAAAGUCAGCCCUUUGCUCGUCAAACCCGCCUUCAACAAUUUGCCAAUUUGCAUAAACCCCUCUAAUAUCUGACCUAAAAGAGCUGUGGCGGCUCCGCUUGAGCGGUAAUGCUGUGCAUCCACACCGCUGACUCUCCGUGUCUGACGGAACUGAGAGAGGUCCGCUCGCGGCGGUCAACGCGCCUGUCCUUUUUUCACAGCACAGAGCAUGGAGAAAAGACUGGAAAACAAGAGAAAAAAAAAAAGAACAUGGGAAACCAAAUUAGGGAAGGCUGCAAACCAGGCUUAAAUCCGCAUGAAUUCCACAGCUCUCACCUGAACAGAUAAUUAUUUUUAUGAUUGGCAGUAAGAUGAAAUGAUGUUUGGAACAGACCAGUACAGUACCUCCAGUGAUGUAAUAAUGACCUUCACCCUCAGCCUGUUCCUUCCCCAUCAGCCAUCAGCAUCUUCCCUACAGACAAAAAUUAAAGGUCUAGACCGGAAUGACAAAGACUGAGAAGGACCCUACAGCCAGAGCAGAAAGAACGGUAAUAGAAUAGGUAAUCAAAAACAUGGCCUAUCUAUCCCAUCCCAUUCUCUCCAAUACAAUCACUUUUUUCUGCAACUAAUCAUAAAGAAGCAGAUAAGUCUGAUGGUGGAAAAGCAAAAGUUCUAUUCAGGCAGGAUUAAAAUAAGUUGAACAAACACUCAGAAAAUAGUAUCUCCCUUCAGGGCAAGCCUGCAAUCAUUUCAAAGUAUCAUUUUGCAAGUUUGAGCUAGUAACUAAAGUAGGCAAAAGGACAGAUUAUGAAAAAUAAUAAAAAAAAAGAUUAAAAAGCUAAAUGAAAGUAACAUUAAAGUAAAUUACAAGUAUUUUGAAAUAAUUAAAUAGGUUUAUUUUAAAAGCAGAGCAAAAUUUAGGUUUCCCCCUGCAACACAGCUCUAAAUAUUUUUUAAAAAUUAUGAGAUUUGAAUAUUUGUGCAUAUUCUAUCGCCUACACCUUUUUCUUUUACAUAAGAUAUGAUGAAAACUGAAUAUAAAAUGUGUAUAUCUACUAAUUUUUAAUCAAUGCAUAUUAAGAAGUGUAGAAAUGAGUAUAAAAAGGGGACACAGGAAUGGAAUGUAUAUAGAAUGUAAUGUGAAUUGUAUUCAUUUGGAAGACUAAAUAAAAACCAAUAUAUAAUUUUAAAAAGCAGCAUCAGCAUUCUUCUAUAAAUCUUUUAUGUUCCAUUGAAGAAAGAUGAUCAUACAGAUUUGGAACAUCUCAUGAGGGUGAAUAAAUAAUGACAGAAUUGUAAUUUAUGUUUGAACUGUCCCUUUAAUACAAAAAACAGUCUUACACAAUCAUAAUCUCUGAGCUGUAAUUCUGCUUUUGCAUUCACUUUUCUCUCAAAACGCUAUUCUGAUAUCUACCACAUCCACAACGGAUAAGGAAAGGCAGUGAAUGUUUGGCAAAAAUAAAUAGCCUCAGACCUCCUGUGAGGAAGAGAGAGCCAUUUAAGCCAAACGUUCGUUUCCGAGAGCAAAAAAAGCAACAGGAAUUGAGACUCUUUCAGACGCUGUGUAUGAGUGGAGCUUUUGUGCCGAACCUGCGUGCGAUUAUUGGCUGUGGGUGGAAAUAUGAUUAAGUGCACUCGGAGCUCAGAAGCAAUAAGCGCCCACAUUUGUGUUGCUUCAGGAAUAUGGUCUCACAGCCGCUCUGAAGGCUAUGUGAUUUACUGUGUGAAAGGUCAAGUUCAAACUGAAGAGAAGGAAUAUAUUAUACAAGUAAUGUAACCUUAUUAAGUGUGAGUAAUGAGCGUACACACACCUACAGACAUUCAUUCUUUUAAAGGGACACAGCUAUACAGAUUGCAGGACCAUUACGAGUCAAAUACACAAUUCAGGAAGACAUAAAUUCUCUAAUAAUCUACAUCGGGC